Long non-coding RNA from Cynocephalus volans (Philippine flying lemur), 445 nucleotides. RefSeq lists it as uncharacterized. NCBI's taxonomy places the organism in Eukaryota, Metazoa, Chordata, Mammalia, Dermoptera, Cynocephalidae. The record is from RefSeq and is a predicted model, not a curated record. The transcript is spliced from 4 exons.
CGGCAGCUUCCCCGCUAGGGAGCCAGGACAGCGCCAGCUCCGCCUCCUCCGGCUCCGCGGGCGGCGGCGGCGGGGACGACGGCGCGCGGCGAGGGACACGCACUUUCGCAACGCGAACGCUCUCCGGGCCCGAAGAGCGCCCCCGCCGUCAGGUUCGCCGCAGCGCAGUGCCGGGGAGCCUCGCCCGGCCGCCUCGGGGCACAGCGGCCAGGAGAGAAGCCACGUAGUUCCUACAGCAGUCAGGAGCUGUUGACAGAUUGCUUGGGCUUGAAUCCAGAUUCCAUCACCCAACAGCUGUGUGAUCCUGAAAAGUCUUCCUCCUUUUCUUACCAAGCCCACUAUGGUGAAGCAAAAAAGUCCAGUACCAAGAAAGACCCGUGGGGUGUCGCGCGCAGUUAAGCAGCAGCAGCAGGAGCAGUAGCCGCUGUGUGAGGGAGCCAUGAAG